CGCCUGGGGAGUACGGGUGAGGUAACGGCUCACCAAGGCAUCGACGGGUAGCUGGUCUGAGAGGACGAUCAGCCACACUGGGACUGAGACACGGCCCAGACUCCUACGGGAGGCAGCAGUAGGGAAUCUUGCGCAAUGGGCGAAAGCCUGACGCAGCAACGCCGCGUGGGGGAUGAAUGCCUUCGGGUUGUAAACCCCUUUCAGCAGGGACGAAAAUGACGGUACCUGCAGAAGAAGCUCCGGCCAACUACGUGCCAGCAGCCGCGGUAAUACGUAGGGAGCGAGCGUUGUCCGGAAUUAUUGGGCGUAAAGAGCUCGUAGGCGGUUCAGUAAGUCGGGUGUGAAAACUCAAGGCUCGACCUUGAGACGCCACUCGAUACUGCUGUGACUUGAGUCCGGUAGAGGAGUGUGGAAUUCCUGGUGUAGCGGUGAAAUGCGCAGAUAUCAGGAGGAACACCAGCGGCGAAGGCGGCACUCUGGGCCGGUACUGACGCUGAGGAGCGAAAGCAUGGGGAGCAAACAGGAUUAGAUACCCUGGUAGUCUAUGCCGUAAACGUUGGGCACUAGGUAUGGGAUCAUAUCAACGGAUUCCGUGCCGUAGCUAACGCAUUAAGUGCCCCGCCUGGGGAGUACGG
This 635-nucleotide ribosomal RNA is filed under the name uncultured Actinomycetes bacterium. RNAcentral's name for it is "bacterial SSU rRNA". It matches the Rfam family "Bacterial small subunit ribosomal RNA", at positions 234 to 885 of the family's 1533-position model. Lineage: Bacteria; Bacillati; Actinomycetota; Actinomycetes. The record is from RNAcentral.